This is a long non-coding RNA of Cotesia glomerata, 963 nucleotides long. RefSeq lists it as uncharacterized. Lineage: Eukaryota; Metazoa; Arthropoda; Insecta; Hymenoptera; Braconidae. The record is from RefSeq and is a predicted model, not a curated record. The transcript has 3 exons.
ACCAUUAAUAAAGUUAGAAAUAAUAAAACAAAAUAAAGUAGUAGUUAAAUAAAACGUACAAGUUGUAUUGCACCACGCAAGAAAUAGCAACAUAAUGUAAUAUAAUAUAAGCACUUAUACUUAUACAUACUUAAGAAAAGCGAAUAAAGAAGUUUAUAUUCCAUAUUUAUACACGUACAUCUACAGAUAAAUUUAUAGUACAAGUGUGUAUAUUUUACAUAUAUAUAUAUAUAUAUAUGUACAAUAAAUGUGAGAAGUGAACGUUACAUUACGUGGUAGAAUCGUCAGAAGAACUUUGAGCCACCCAAUCAGAACGUGAGAGGCGCGUGCCGUCAAUUUGCCCACGCGAGGUUCAUUCUUAUUUUCUCAUCCAGUACAAUCCAAUAUAAUCUGUGAGCUAUACUCUCUUAUACAUCGAUGUAUAAAAAUAUAUAUAAAUAUAUGUUGCGACAAAAUGCUGUAAAUCUGAAAUUAAUGGCUUCGACAAAAUAAUGUUUCAAGUUUUUGAAUUAUUUUAUUUUUAUGUCAAAAAAUAUUCAUUUUUUUAUUACUUAUGACUUAUGACACACAAGUCACGAUGACUCAUGUGAUAAGUCUAGUAAUAGUAUAUUACACUACGAGGGCAGAAAGUUGAGAUUCCUGCACAAGGGAAAAUAAUGAUUAGUUCUCCAAUAUUAUAUGGAAGGAGGAUUCUCAAACUUAUCACCAUGCUGAAUUCAGCACUAUUCCAAUAUGUAAUUUUGUCAUGUGUAUAUUGGAAUUUGAAGAUGCAAAGAUUUGGGUUAAAUUGGAGACUCCCGUUAUAUACGAAGAUUUUCUUACAAAAGCUCAAGACAUUUUUCCAUUUCUUGCUAACCGUAAUUUUUAUUUCACUAAUGCUAAUGAUGCAAAAUUGGACUUUAUUCUAGUUGAUUAUAUCUUAAACAAUCCACAUGGUGUGAUACUUAAAAUUAAAACGACGGA